CAAUAGCGUAUAUUAAAGUUGUUGCAGUUAAAAAGCUCGUAGUUGGAUUUCUGGUUGAAGCGACCGGUCGGGCGUUGAUUCGUCUGCACUGGAGUCGGUUUUGGCCAUCCUCUAGGAAAGUGCGUCUGGUAUUAAGUUAUCGGGCGUAUGAUCCUGGUCUUUUACUGUGAAAAAAUUAGAGUGUUUAAAGCAGGCCUUCGCCUUGAAUACAUUAGCAUGGAAUAAUAAGAUAGGACUUUGGUCUAUUUUGUUGGUUUGCAGACCGAAGUAAUGAUUAAUAGGGAUAGUUGGGGGUAUUUAUAUUCCGAUGUCAGAGGUGAAAUUCUUAGAUUUUCGGAAGAUAAACUUAUGCGAAAGCAUUUACCAAGGAUGUUUUCAUUAG
This 382-nucleotide ribosomal RNA is filed under the name uncultured eukaryote. Its description in RNAcentral is "partial 18S ribosomal RNA". It matches the Rfam family "Eukaryotic small subunit ribosomal RNA", at positions 592 to 976 of the family's 1831-position model. The record is from RNAcentral.